ACGAAGGGGGCUAGCGUUGUUCGGAAUUACUGGGCGUAAAGCGCACGUAGGCGGAUUGUUAAGUGAGGGGUGAAAUCCCAGGGCUCAACCCUGGAACUGCCUUUCAUACUGGCAAUCUAGAGUCCGGAAGAGGUGAGUGGAAUUCCGAGUGUAGAGGUGAAAUUCGUAGAUAUUCGGAGGAACACCAGUGGCGAAGGCGGCUCACUGGUCCGGUACUGACGCUGAGGUGCGAAAGCGUGGGGAGCAAACAG
This 251-nucleotide ribosomal RNA is filed under the name uncultured prokaryote. RNAcentral's name for it is "partial 16S ribosomal RNA". It matches the Rfam family "Bacterial small subunit ribosomal RNA", at positions 525 to 775 of the family's 1533-position model. The record is from RNAcentral.